This 29-nucleotide non-coding RNA is filed under the name Homo sapiens (human). The record is from RNAcentral. Lineage: Eukaryota; Metazoa; Chordata; Mammalia; Primates; Hominidae.
UAACCCAGGCCACUUGGACUCCAAAGUUA